GAUGAACGCUGGCGGCGUGCCUAACACAUGCAAGUCGAACGGAGGCCAGCCUUUAAGGCCUUCGGGUCAAAGAGGGGAAGACUGAGUGGCGGACGGGUGAGUAACACGUGGGCAACCUGGCUCAUAGAGGGGGAUAACAGAGAGAAAUCUCUGCUAAUACCGCAUAAGCACACACUGCCGCAUGGCAGAGGGUGAAAAGAGAAUCGCUAUGAGAUGGACCCGCGUCUGAUUAGCCAGUUGGCAGGGUAAGAGCCUACCAAAGCGACGAUCAGUAGCCGUUCUGAGAGGCUGAGCGCCCACAUUGGGUAUGCGACACGCCCCAAACUCUUUCGUGAGGCAGCAGUGGGGGAUAUUGCAUAAUGGGGGGACCCCUGAUGCAGCGACGCCGCGUGAGUGAAGAAGUAUUUAGGUAUGUAAAGCUCUAUCAGCAGGGAAGAUAAUGACAGUACCUGAAUAAGAAGCCCCGGCUAACUCCGUG
Molecule: ribosomal RNA, 478 nt
Filed under: uncultured bacterium
Lineage: Bacteria
Description: partial 16S ribosomal RNA
Rfam family: Bacterial small subunit ribosomal RNA
Source: RNAcentral